AGAGUUUGAUCUGGCUCAGGAUGAACGCUAGCGGCAGGCUUAACACAUGCAAGUCGAGGGGUAUAGGUUUUCGGACCUAGAGACCGGCGCACGGGUGCGUAACGCGUAUGCAAUCCACCUUUUACAGAGGGAUAGCCCAGAGAAAUUUGGAUUAAUACCUCAUAGUAUUAUUGAAUGGCAUCAUUUAAUAAUUAAAGUCACAACGGUAAAAGAUGAGCAUGCGUCCCAUUAGCUUGUUGGUAAGGUAACGGCUUACCAAGGCAACGAUGGGUAGGGGUCCUGAGAGGGAGAUCCCCCACACUGGUACUGAGACACGGACCAGACUCCUACGGGAGGCAGCAGUGAGGAAUAUUGGUCAAUGGGCGCAAGCCUGAACCAGCCAUGCCGCGUGCAGGAUGACGGUCCUAUGGAUUGUAAACUGCUUUUGUACAGGAAGAAACAGUUCUACGUGUAGAACCUUGACGGUACUGUAAGAAUAAGGAUCGGCUAACUCCGUGCCAGCAGCCGCGGUA
RNAcentral lists this ribosomal RNA (512 nucleotides) under uncultured Bacteroidota bacterium. RNAcentral's name for it is "bacterial SSU rRNA". It matches the Rfam family "Bacterial small subunit ribosomal RNA", at positions 8 to 522 of the family's 1533-position model. Lineage: Bacteria; Pseudomonadati; Bacteroidota. The record is from RNAcentral.